GUGGGGGAUAUUGCACAAUGGGGGAAACCCUGAUGCAGCAACGCCGCGUGAAGGAAGAAGGUCUUCGGAUUGUAAACUUUUGUCUUGUGGGAAGAUAAUGACGGUACCACAGGAGGAAGCUCCGGCUAACUACGUGCCAGCAGCCGCGGUAAUACGUAGGGAGCGAGCGUUGUCCGGAUUUACUGGGUGUAAAGGGUGCGUAGGCGGCUAGACAAGUCAGGUGUGAAAUACCGCAGCUCAACUGCGGGGCUGCACUUGAAACUGUAGAGCUUGAGUGAUGGAGAGGUAAGCGGAAUUCCUAGUGUAGCGGUAAAAUGCGUAGAUAUUAGGAGGAACACCAGUGGCGAAGGCGGCUUACUGGACAUUAACUGACGCUGAGGCACGAAAGCGUGGGGAGCAAACAGGAUUAGAAACCCUUGUAGUCC
RNAcentral lists this ribosomal RNA (425 nucleotides) under uncultured bacterium. RNAcentral's name for it is "bacterial SSU rRNA". It matches the Rfam family "Bacterial small subunit ribosomal RNA", at positions 354 to 796 of the family's 1533-position model. The record is from RNAcentral.